RNAcentral lists this small RNA (868 nucleotides) under Pongo abelii (Sumatran orangutan). RNAcentral's name for it is "retained intron". The record is from RNAcentral. Lineage: Eukaryota; Metazoa; Chordata; Mammalia; Primates; Hominidae.
UGCGUCUCGGGCUGGUGACUGGGUCCAGAAUGGCUUCGGACUCGGGGAACCAGGGGACCCUCUGCACGUUGGAGUUCACGGUGCAGAUGACCUGUCAGAGCUGUGUGGACGCGGUGCGCAAGUCCCUGCAAGGGGUGGCAGGUGUCCAGGAUGUGGAGGUGCACUUGGAGGACCAGAUGGUCUUGGUACACACCACUCUGCCCAGCCAGGAGGUGCAAGCUCUCCUGGAAGGCACGGGGCGGCAGGCGGUACUCAAGGGCAUGGGCAGCGGCCAGUUGCGUGAGUGACCACGGUGGCCUUGGCCCCCCUGGGAGGGAGGUGGCUCAGAGCUGGUACAAAUCUAACCAUAGGAUUCUCGGGCUCUGGGUUGGAGUGGCUUUGAGGAAGGUGUGAAAAUUAUGUGAGACUCCCUGCCCUUCCCGAGCUACUGAAAAGGUGUGCUGGGUGAGGUGGCAACCCAGCCCAAGUGUCUAAUACCUUGCAGAGAAUCUGGGGGCAGCAGUGGCCAUCCUGGGGGGGCCUGGCACCGUGCAGGGGGUGGUGCGCUUCCUACAGCUGACCCCUGAGCGCUGCCUCAUCGAGGGAACUAUUGACGGCCUGGAGCCUGGGCUGCAUGGACUCCACAUCCAUCAGUAUGGGGACCUCACAAACAACUGCAACAGCUGUGGGAACCACUUUAACCCUGAUGGAGCAUCUCAUGGGGGCCCCCAGGACUCCGACCGGACAGGGCCAAGAAGACCUUGCCUGCCCAGUCCUUGGGGAGCUCAGAUCCUACCAGACUGGUACCCACAGGAGGAAAUGGGUACUUUAGGGAAGCAGGAAGAGGCAUCGCAAUCAGGAAGUCAGAAGAUAGCAGCUUGGCACCACG